Molecule: ribosomal RNA, 248 nt
Filed under: uncultured bacterium
Lineage: Bacteria
Description: partial 16S ribosomal RNA
Rfam family: Bacterial small subunit ribosomal RNA
Source: RNAcentral
UGAGCAAUCUGCCCUUGACCCUGGAAUAACAGCUGGAAACAGCUGCUAAUACCGGAUACGACCUCCGAUGGCAUCAUCUGGAGGUGGAAAGCUCCGACGGUCAAGGAUGGGCUCGCGGCCUAUCAGCUUGUUGGUGAGGUAACGGCUCACCAAGGCUUCGACGGGUAGCCGGCCUGAGGACGGGCCGACCCGGCCACACGUGGGACUGGAGACGUACCCGGCCCAGUACCCUCGGUAACCGGGGACGG